This 254-nucleotide ribosomal RNA is filed under the name uncultured bacterium. RNAcentral describes it as "partial 16S ribosomal RNA". It matches the Rfam family "Bacterial small subunit ribosomal RNA", at positions 524 to 776 of the family's 1533-position model. The record is from RNAcentral.
UACGUAGGGGGCGAGCGUUGUCCGGAUUCAUUGGGCGUAAAGAGCUCGUAGGCGGUUCAGUAAGUCGGGUGUGAAAUCUCCGUGCUCAACACGGAGCGGCCACCUGAUACUGCUGUGACUCGAGUCCGGUAGGGGAGUGUGGAAUUCCCGGUGUAGCGGUGAAAUGCGCAGAUAUCGGGAGGAACACCAGUGGCGAAGGCGGGUCUCUGGACAGUUCCUGACACUGAGGCACGAAGGCCAGGGGAGCAAACGGG